This 467-nucleotide ribosomal RNA is filed under the name uncultured bacterium. RNAcentral's name for it is "partial 16S ribosomal RNA". It matches the Rfam family "Bacterial small subunit ribosomal RNA", at positions 28 to 507 of the family's 1533-position model. The record is from RNAcentral.
GACGAACGCUGGCGGCGUGCUUAACACAUGCAAGUCGAACGGAAAGGCUCCAGCUUGCUGGAGUACUCGAGUGGCGAACGGGUGAGUAACACGUGGGUAAUCUGCCCUGCACUCUGGGAUAAGCCUUGGAAACUGGGUCUAAUACUGGAUAUGACCUUUCUCCUUAUGGGGUUUGGUGGAAAGUUUUUCUGUGUAGGAUGAGCCCGCGGCCUAUCAGCUUGUUGGUGGGGUGAUGGCCUACCAAGGCGACGACGGGUAGCCGGCCUGAGAGGGUGAUCGGCCACAUUGGGACUGAGAUACGGCCCAGACUCCUACGGGAGGCAGCAGUGGGGAAUAUUGCACAAUGGGCGGAAGCCUGAUGCAGCGACGCCGCGUGAGGGAUGACGGCCUUCGGGUUGUAAACCUCUUUCAGCAGGGACGAAGCGUAAGUGACGGUACCUGCAGAAGAAGCACCGGCUAACUACGUG